Molecule: non-coding RNA, 85 nt
Organism: Acanthosepion pharaonis
Lineage: Eukaryota; Metazoa; Mollusca; Cephalopoda; Sepiida; Sepiidae
Source: the annotation of a GenBank genome assembly
UCUCGUACGAUCACCGAAGUUAAGCCACGUCGAGCCUGUUCCUUACUUAGAUGGGUGUACGCUUGGGAAUACCAGGUGGUGUAAG